Molecule: ribosomal RNA, 289 nt
Filed under: uncultured Alishewanella sp.
Lineage: Bacteria; Pseudomonadati; Pseudomonadota; Gammaproteobacteria; Alteromonadales; Alteromonadaceae
Description: partial 16S ribosomal RNA
Source: RNAcentral
CUACUAGGGUUUCUAAUCCUGUUUGCUCCCCACGCUUUCGCACCUGAGCGUCAGUAUUGUGCCAGGGGGCCGCCUUCGCCACUGGUAUUCCUCCAAAUCUCUACGCAUUUCACCGCUACACUUGGAAUUCUACCCCCCUCUCACAUACUCUAGCUUCCCAGUAUCAGAUGCAAUUCCCAGGUUGAGCCCGGGGCUUUCACAUCCGACUUAAAAAGCCGCCUGCGUGCGCUUUACGCCCAGUAAUUCCGAUUAACGCUUGCACCCUCCGUAUUACCGCGGCUGCUGGCAC